UACGGGGGGGGCAAGCGUUGUUCGGAAUUACUGGGCGUAAAGGGCCAGUAGGCGGCCAACUAAGUCCGACGUGAAAUCCCAAGGCUUAACCUUGGAACUGCGUCGGAUACUGGAUGGCUUGAAUUCGGGAGAGGGAUGCAGAAUUCCAGGUGUAGCGGUGAAAUGCGUAGAUAUCUGGAGGAAUACCGGUGGCGAAGGCGGCAUCCUGGACCGGCAUUGACGCUGAACAGCGAAAGCUAGGGGAGCAAACGGG
Molecule: ribosomal RNA, 253 nt
Filed under: uncultured bacterium
Lineage: Bacteria
Description: partial 16S ribosomal RNA
Rfam family: Bacterial small subunit ribosomal RNA
Source: RNAcentral